UUUCUUGAAUUCUAUGUAAGUUUGUAAAGUAGUACAAAAACAAACAUUUUUACAAAAUCUUAAGUCACCCUAUCAUUAAAGUAAUUUUGUAAAGUAGUUUGCUCUCAACCAAUGUUUUGAAAACCGGACUGGGCCGGUCGGUCGGACCGGUCCGGCCGGGAUCCGGAGCCUAUACCGGGCCGGUUCAGCAUAUCAGUUCGUUUCAGCAUCAGCCCGGCGGUCGGGCCGGGGCGGGGCCGGCGGGUCGUCUCGUAGGGUCGGGCCGGUGUAAGUAUAUCGGAAAGAAAAUAUUUCCGGCGAAGGACGGUUGCCGUAGACUUACCGUUGUUUUUUGAUUAUGUUGAGAUGUAACAGGAAGAAGAUGAAGUGUGUGUGCUAUCUCUGAGAAUGAAAAUAUUUCCGGCGAUGGACGGUUGCCGGAGACUGACCGUUGUUUUUCUUGAUUAUGUUGAGACGUAACAGGAAGAAGAUGAAGCUUGUGUGCCAUCUCUCUCGUACAAUUUGUUUCUGGUGGAGUGGUGACAGCUCAUGAUGAGACAACAUAUAGGGUUUGACUCUUUAAAUUAGUGUCUUAAUAUUUUAUUGUUUGUUUUCGAGAACUCUUAAUUCUUUAAAAUUGUAAUGCAAGCUCAAUUUUAUAGUUAGUUUAUUAUAUUUAGUUAGAAAUAAAGUGCAAGUUCAGUUUGUAAUUAAUUUAUUUUUAUAUUAAGUUAGAAAUAUAUAAGUUUAUAAUGUGUUAUCUUAUGGUUAGAAAUACAUGUAUUCCGGUUCUUAAAUCCGGUCCGAAUGGUUUGACCAGUGAACCGGUAUAGAGACCGGUUCGACGUCCGGUCCGGUUAUGAAAACAUUGCUCUCAACAUAAUGAAAUUGCUGUUGAAUAAAGCUAUUGAUCAUUAAUUUAUAUCAAUUUUGUAAGUCUGCAGUAAUUAUUUUUUACUCUCUAUCAAUAUAUGUUAUGCAUGGUUUUCUAAUAA
This 974-nucleotide long non-coding RNA is filed under the name Helianthus annuus (common sunflower). RNAcentral describes it as "hypothetical non coding rna". The record is from RNAcentral. Lineage: Eukaryota; Viridiplantae; Streptophyta; Magnoliopsida; Asterales; Asteraceae.